RNAcentral lists this ribosomal RNA (422 nucleotides) under uncultured bacterium. RNAcentral's name for it is "bacterial SSU rRNA". It matches the Rfam family "Bacterial small subunit ribosomal RNA", at positions 355 to 774 of the family's 1533-position model. The record is from RNAcentral.
UGAGGAAUAUUGGUCAAUGGGCGGGAGCCUGAACCAGCCAAGUCGCGUGAAGGAAGAAGGAUCUAUGGUUCGUAAACUUCUUUUGCAGGGGAAUAAAGUGCAGGACGUGUCCUGUUUUGUAUGUACCCUGAGAAUAAGGAUCGGCUAACUCCGUGCCAGCAGCCGCGGUAAUACGGAGGAUCCGAGCGUUAUCCGGAUUUAUUGGGUUUAAAGGGUGCGUAGGUGGUUUGAUAAGUCAGCGGUGAAAGUUUGCAGCUUAACUGUAAAAAUGCCGUUGAAACUGUCGGACUUGAGUGUAAAUGAGGUAGGCGGAAUGCGUGGUGGAGCGGUGAAAUGCAUAGAUAUCACGCAGAACUCCGAGUGCGAAGGCAGCUUACUAAGCUACAACUGACACUGAAGCACGAAAGCGUGGGGAUCAAACA